Molecule: long non-coding RNA, 1298 nt
Organism: Calypte anna (Anna's hummingbird)
Lineage: Eukaryota; Metazoa; Chordata; Aves; Apodiformes; Trochilidae
Exons: 4
Source: RefSeq, a predicted model, not a curated record
CCCAACCUCCUGCCAGCAGCAGAGCCUCCCAGAGGUCACCCCAAAGGGACACCCGGGAGUGACCCGAGGGACACCCAGAAGCUCCGGGGGGGUGGGAAGGAGGCGGCUGCCACUGCCCAGCCCAGCCCGGAGGGGAGGAGGGACCCGGGGUUGGCACUGCCCCAACCUCUGCUCCAGCCCUCCCCAAACCAACCCAUCUGUGCAGCCCCUGCCAAGGGCCUGGAAUGGUUUCCAGACUUGUAUCCCAAUUACCGGGGGCUGAGGCUUUUCCCAGAGAAGCUUUUCCAGGAAGACAGCAGGAUCCCAGUGAGGGCCCUGAAGGGGGAUUCCUCCAGGGGACAGCCAGGUUUCCUCUCAGCUCAGCUGCCUGCCUGGCUGCCCACCAGAGAGCUUUCCCCUCAGGGGCUGCUUGGAGGAGCACAGAGAGCCUGGAGCAGCUUUUCCAGCAGAUACCUCCAGGUGAAGAGGGGGAGCCUGGCGGGGGUCUCGGUGCUGCUGGCAGGGUCCUGUCUCCUCACCUCCUGCUGGCAAUCCCAGCACACCAAGCAUCACCACUGGCACAGGUACCACUGAGGGGCUGGAGCAGCAAGGAGCAGCCCUGGAUCUCCCAGCUGGAGGCAGCAGAAGUGCUCAGCAGCUCAACUCCCAGCACUGCAACCCAGCAGAGCCCAGUUUAGAACCCCAGGCAGGUGCUUUAGUGGUGGAAGGGGCUGCUUUUCAGUCACCCUCCUGCAGGCAGAGGAGGGGCAGGGGCAGUGCCAGCCUCUGCUCAGCACUGACAGGAAAUGUGCUUGAGCCACCCCUCAGGGCUCCUGCAGAGCCCCAGAUCUCUUCCUUGGGGACACCAGAGACAGGACAAACCCUUCUGAUAAGGAUUAACUGAUGUGUUUUAGGCAGAGAGGUUGGAGAGGGAGCGUGGCACGGGGGGGUUAGGCUGGAAUAACACCACUUCUUGCCCCUUAGCAGCCUUGUGCCCAGCUCUAACUCACCCCUCCCCACAGCAAACACCAACUGGCAGGAGGUGGGGAUCCCACAAAGCCCCCCCAGCCCUGCUGGGUGUCAGGGUGGGCAGCUCUGCCCGGGCUCUAGGGGAAGGAGCUUUGGGAAGGCAGCUGUAGGAUUGCUGGACACUAUUUCUGGAGGAGGAAAAUCCAUUGGAUGAGCUGCUGAGCCCAAAGGGCAAACUGCUGCCUGCAUCAGGCAAACCAGGGCAGUCAGGAGAGCUGCUGGUCACUGCCUGCCAGGGCUCAACGUGUCUGGGAGAGGAGUGAUCAUGUUACAGGCACGAAGGAAAAAAA